GUGAGCAUUAAACUGAACAAUGAAACAGGUGCGUAUUUCCAAAGUCACAAGGGGGUCCGGCAAGGCGAUCCCCAUUCUCCUUUCCUUUUUAACCUGGCUGUAGAGACACUCUCGAAAAUGGUUCUUAAUGCACAAAAAGAGAAAAUGCUGACGGGCUUAUCACCUGACUUGAUUGAGGGGGGUGUGGCUAUCCUGCAAUAUGCAGAUGACACUGUAAUAUGUUUUGAACAUGAUAAGGAAGCGGCUGUGAAUCUGAAGCUUCUAUUGUACCUGUUUGAACUUAUGUCAGGACUGAAGAUCAAUUUUAUGAAAAGCGAAAUCCUCUAUGUCGGUGGAGAUGAUAGUACCCUUUCCUUUUAUGCUGAUCUGUUUAAUUGUAGUAUUGGACAUUUUCCAAUGAAAUACUUGGGAGUCCCAGUCAGUUUCUCUUCUUUGCGUAGCAUAGACUGGGAUUUUAUGGAUGAGAGGUUCCUUAAAUGCUGUGAAUCCUGGAUUGGUAAUGCAGCAUCUUCGGGUGGGAGGCUCAUCCUUCUCAAUUCCUCAUUAACUAGCAUUGUCUUUUAC
RNAcentral lists this ribosomal RNA (564 nucleotides) under Triticum aestivum (bread wheat). RNAcentral describes it as "partial small subunit ribosomal RNA". The record is from RNAcentral. Lineage: Eukaryota; Viridiplantae; Streptophyta; Magnoliopsida; Poales; Poaceae.